Molecule: long non-coding RNA, 722 nt
Organism: Oreochromis niloticus (Nile tilapia)
Lineage: Eukaryota; Metazoa; Chordata; Actinopteri; Cichliformes; Cichlidae
Exons: 3
Source: RefSeq, a predicted model, not a curated record
GCGUCUGCCUCUGCUGUGAGUCUCCUUCAUGUUUCAUGUAUUAUCUGUGUUUCCACCACUGGAGGGCGCUGUGGGUUAUUGAUGUGUGGGAACAGUAACCAAUCACUGCAGUCUGAAUGCUUCUCUUUGGUCAUGUGACCAUUUGAUCUCUGAUCAGUGUGUUCUUCAGUUUCAGGCCUGUUUCUGCUGACUGCUGCAGGUGUGUGUGUGCUGCUGCUGUCUGCUCUGGCUGUUCCUGCAGCUCCUCCUCCCUCUGAGCUCAGACUCUUCUGCCAUCUAGUGGUCUUCUGUCCGUACUGCAUCUCCACCGGUCUGCUGCUGUCCAUCUGCUGGAGCAGGAAGAACAAACCAGCCGUCUCCAUGGAGAUGACCCAGCGUGAUGGAGGUCAGGGAUUGGACAGAGAGUAUGAUGAUGUCACCACUGAGCAUGCCUUCUGAGCUGUGGAGCCUGUUAGUGUUUAAGCUGCAGAUGAUGAUUUUUCACUGCUGGUAAAGACUUCACUGGUCUUUAACUUCUUCUUCAAACUCUUCCACUGGACUGCUCCACAUCAGCUCACAGUUGUUCAUAUUUGUUGUAAACUGACUCCUCCUCCCACUGUUCCACAGCCAGGAGUGUUUAUGAUGGAGCAGCUGCUGCAGCCACAUUUAUGGAGGGUCGGGAGUGCCAACAUGAAUUAAAGAAAUACACCAAUAAUUUUUUUAUUUAAAUGUUUCAUUAAUUU